Molecule: long non-coding RNA, 2551 nt
Filed under: Nicotiana tabacum (common tobacco)
Lineage: Eukaryota; Viridiplantae; Streptophyta; Magnoliopsida; Solanales; Solanaceae
Description: long non-coding RNA (NTAB_LNC013287)
Source: RNAcentral
CCAAAAAACCCCUCGCUUCGUCUCUCUAAAAAAUUCCCAUACACUCUCUGAAACUCCGCCCUAAACCGCCGCCGGGAAUCGCCUCAAGGCGGCGAAACUUCUCCAAAUGAACCCAAAUUUUCACCAGUUAACCCCCGCUGCCUCCUCUAUCCAAAUCCCCAAAUCAAUUCCCUCGAAUUACUCUCAAAAGCCUCGAAUUUCAAAUCUGAGUUUCAACCUAGAAACCCUAGUUUACCCAAAUCACCCCAAAAUCAUACCCCAUAGUCCUCACACCCCUCUGAACCCUAAACCACAACCAAUUCCCCAAAAACCCUAGCCAAUUUCUUCGAAUUUCCAAUCUGAGCUCUUGUGCCCUUCUUCUUUUAGUCAGAGUUAUGGCAUUUGAACCCCAAACUUUCAUUAGCCGACUGUUCUUGUUGAGAACAGUAAUGUCAGUUCAAUGUUCAUAUUACCCAUUUGCUUCAAAGUUUGGUCAAGACUUGUUUUGUUUGGCUUUGUUUGGUCCGUAUGGAAACAAGUUUGGUAACUCUUUUUGCCUAUCUUUUCUCUUUUCCUUCUCUGAGAAUCCCUUUUCAUUUCCUUUCUUUUAUGUUUAGUAGCAUGUUUUAGGUUUUUUUUUCUUUUCAGAAUCUUCUGUUUGUUUUUCUUUGCAUCCAGUAAUUAGUUUAGUCAAAAGCAUAUGAAAAUUUCAUUGUAUAAGGAUUGUUUGUAAUUGCAUAAAUUUAGUUUAAUCCUUAGGGUCGAUACAUGAAAUGAGCUUGCCUGUUUCUCCAUUUUUUCCUCUUGGGUUCAGUAUUGGUUUAGGAGCAUUUUUAGCCUAUCUUUGCAGCCCUAUGUUAAUUUCGUUUGAUUACUGAUACAUUAAUCAUUGAACUUUAAGCUUUGUUUAGGUUUAAUUUAGAUAAACUUUUUGUCUAUCAAUUAGGUUAAUUUUAAUUUAAAUUGCAUCAGCUCUCUUACCUUUAUUUCUGUUAACAUCUUUUGCAUCUUUUGAUUUGUUUUGAUUGUGUUUGACCUGAUUUGAAAAUCAAUAGAAAUCUUAGGGACCUAAUUGAACUAAAAGAAUUUAGGUUAAAGAUGAAAUAUGCAGUAACUUAAAGGGUAAAAUUGGACUUUCACUUAGGCUAAAAUCAGAAGGUUCUAGUAUUUAGGACAACUGUCCCUAUCCUUAGCAAAAUGCUAAUAUUGGAUAAGAAAAAAGGACAUACAGCUGUCAAAAGAUGUUGUACUAUCCUAAAAAUUCAAAAUAUUAGGUUAGAAUAUGUCUUUUUGAUGCUCUUUUGGUACACUCUAUAAGAAGAAAAUAUUCCUUCACUCAUAUACAGACAUUCGCCAUUAUUUGCCUGCAUAAAGGCUUUGAAAAACACAUCAAAUUUUUAGAAACCUAAAGAGCACAAAAAUUUUUUAGCUAUUGUUUCAUUGAAAGCUGAUCGAUUUCCUUGCUGAUUUCGACAAAAGUUAGAACAAGUUUUGCUCUGAAAUUUCUGGAUUCUUAAGUUGCAAGAUGGCUUGAGUUUGAAUGCUGUGAUAUUGCUGGUUUUUGGCUGUUUAGUUUUAUUGAUUUUUGCUCUGUUUUUGCUGCUUUUUCUCCUUGAAGAUUCACAACCUUGUUCUUAUUCUUUGUAACUAGGUAUAUCUUGAGCUUUGAAACAUGAAUAAAAGUUUGUUUUGAAGAGUGUCUUGCUGCCAUGAAGCCUUGGAGUUCAUAUUUACACAUUUUGUUUCUUCUUGAUGUUUUACCUUUAAGUCAUUUGAAUACUGCUCUUUUGGCUUUUCUUAUUAGCUUAUGUGUAGUUACCUUAAAGUCUUGUAGUGAGGAUUCAUAAAAUAACUAGGAUAUUUAGUGUUGAUAGGGUGUGAACAACACCUCUUGCAUAUGCUGAGUUUAGGUUGAGUAGUCCAGUUCUAAAAGAAAAAAUGUUUACUUUCAGUAUUUUGCUACCUCCAUGUGAUUCUGUCCAAUAUUUUUACUGAUUGUUAAUAGGUGAGCUUUCCAUAAGUGUUGGGUAUGGUCAAAACUAGGCUAUGAUUGAUGUGUAAGUACUUUUGGAUGAAGUGUUCAGCAUUACUACAAAUGUGUAAAAUGAUUAUAUGCUUUUGCUGCUUCAUGUUGAAAAAAUGUUAUAGAUAGCGCAACUUAGAACUUAUAACAUACAAAUAAGGUGUUCAAAUUCUAUAGUAAAGUUCAUGUAAAUAACUAUCUUCUAUUUCGAGUAAAGUAUCUCUGUUCUUUGAUGGUUUAUUCUUGAGUUAUCUCUCUGUACGAAAAACUUUGUAAUACUAAACACCCUCGUGUAUGUGGAAGCCUUGGACAUAACAGGGCUAAAAGUCAAUAUUUCAUUUUUUAGGCUUGGUCUCAAGUUAGCCAUCUUAGAGGUUCGUCGUUAAAAAGGACUUUCUGGCCUAUAUGGUAGGCCAUUUGUGCUGUCAUUUUGGGCUUCAGUCUACGCCCACAUCAUGCUAAUCUAGGGCAAGCCCAGUUUUUUUUAAAAGAGGAAUUAUAUUGAAUUGGUCGAAAUGUUUUACAUCAUAUAAAGAUUUACAUGUCCAC